AGGCUUUGAUCCUGGCUCAGGAUGAACGCUAGCGGCAGGCCUAAUACAUGCAAGUCGAACGGGAUUCGGGACUUCGGUUCUGAUGAGAGUGGCGCACGGGUGCGUAACGCGUAUGCAACCUACCUACUACAGGGGGAUAGCUUCCGGAAACGGGAAUUAAUACCCCAUAAGAUAUUAAUGCUGCAUGGCAUAGAUAUUAAAGCUGAGGCGGUAGUAGAUGGGCAUGCGUUUGAUUAGCUAGUUGGUGGUGUAACGGACCACCAAGGCGACGAUCAAUAGGGGUUCUGAGAGGAUGAUCCCCCACACUGGUACUGAGAUACGGACCAGACUCCUACGGGAGGCAGCAGUAGGGAAUAUUGGGCAAUGGACGAGAGUCUGACCCAGCCAUGCCGCGUGCAGGAAGACGGCCCUUUGGGUUGUAAACUGCUUUUCUACGGGAAGAAAAUGCUCAUGCGUGAGUGACUGACGGUAC
This 472-nucleotide ribosomal RNA is filed under the name uncultured Flexibacteraceae bacterium. RNAcentral describes it as "bacterial SSU rRNA". It matches the Rfam family "Bacterial small subunit ribosomal RNA", at positions 8 to 478 of the family's 1533-position model. The record is from RNAcentral. Lineage: Bacteria; Pseudomonadati; Bacteroidota; Cytophagia; Cytophagales; Cytophagaceae.